UAGACUUGACAUCUCCUGAAUUACUCGUAAUAGAGGAAGUCCCUUCGGGGACAGGAAGACAGGUGGUGCAUGGUUGUCGUCAGCUCGUGUCGUGAGAUGUUGGGUUAAGUCCCGCAACGAGCGCAACCCCUUUUAUUAGUUGCUACCAUUAAGUUGAGCACUCUAGUGAGACUGCCCGGGUUAACCGGGAGGAAGGUGGGGAUGACGUCAAAUCAUCAUGCCCCUUAUGUCUAGGGCUACACACGUGCUACAAUGGCUAGUACAAAGAGACGCAAACCCGCGAGGGGGAGCAAAUCUCAAAAACUAGUCCCAGUUCGGAUUGUAGGCUGAAACUCGCCUACAUGAAGCCGGAGUUGCUAGUAAUCGCGAAUCAGAAUGUCGCGGUGAAUACGUUCCCGGGCC
This 402-nucleotide ribosomal RNA is filed under the name uncultured bacterium. RNAcentral's name for it is "bacterial SSU rRNA". It matches the Rfam family "Bacterial small subunit ribosomal RNA", at positions 976 to 1380 of the family's 1533-position model. The record is from RNAcentral.